UUCUCUUUCUUCGUCUCCUUUCUUCCUCUCUUCUCUAUUCUUCUUCUCCCGUUGAUUAUCUGUGAGGUUCAAUGAAGAAAAUCAAUCGAUGAUGUUGUGUAGAUGAUGAAGGUGAUGUUGUUAAUUCAAGCAGUUGAUUCAGAAUUACCAGGAAAGGUAAAUCAGAGAUAAUCAGAAUUAGGGUUCGUAGAGUGGAUUGAAGUUCUGGAGAUUUAGGAAAUGAUUAUGGAGCUGUUGUUAGAUGAAGAAUCUUGGGUUGAUGUUUAAUUGUAGUUUUGAAGUUGAUUCAGUGAUGAAUCGAAGAACUAGGAUUUCUCAGAAGAUUGUCUAGAGGAUGAAUACGAUGGGAUUAGAGAUGGGUUUUGACAGAUUGAAUGAAUUAGGGUUUAUGAUGAAGAAUAAUUAGAGUUUGCAUAGAAUCAUUGAUGGUGUUGAAGUGUAGUGAGGUUUGGAUGAACCGUGAUGUGUUGCUGAACUGAAUCAAGGUAAAUAAGAAGUUUAUGGUAUUGAUUUGCAGAUUCAGUUAUUGAAGGAUUCUAAUUUCAGAUUUCAGGUAAUUGUGUUACCCUGUAAUUGUAGUAAGAUUAUUAUCUGGUUGUUGUGGUUCAAUUCUAUGUUGUUGUGGUCUUAAUUUUGAUUAUACCAUUUAAAUGGUGAGGAACGAAGAUUAUUGAGUCUCGGUUGGUGUUGCUAGAGAUUGAGUUGAAUUUGCAGGUGGAGAAGUGAUAUUGGUACUUAGUUCUAAAUUGAUUGAAGUUAUAGAUGGGUGUUUAUGAUGUAUGACAGGGGAUUAAUGUUGUAUGCUUGGAAGAUACAGGUAUUGGAGAUAUAGAUGAUUGAGUUAGGAAGUUAUGUGAACUGGUAUUCUUGUAUUCUUGUGAUUGCUAUGAGGUCAAUGUAAUGAACUGGACAAGAGAAUUGGUGUUAGUGUAUAGAUUGUAGAUAGGAAGAGGAAUGACAGUCAUUCUCAUGGGUUGGUGGAAUUGGUAUUGCAGGUGGUAGUAGUUCUCCCAGUUACAGGAUAUGAGAGAAGUUUAUGAUGCAGUGUUUUGUAAUGGGUUUGUAAUGGAAGUGGUUGUCUGUGUAAGUGAUUGCAGCUUGUUGAGUUUGACAGAGAUAUUGUUGAGAUAUGGAAGUGGAUGGCUAGGGUCGUAUCUGAUCUUAGUUGAAGUUGUUGAUUGAUGCAGUGAGUGAUAUAAAUGAAGCUUAGAUGUAUGGAGUAUGAUUUAUGUGUAAGGAAUUGUAACUAGUGCUGAUUUGAUAUAAAGAAUUGGGUUUACAGUUGGUGUUACUUUUGUUGUGGUGAAGUCACAAUGCCAGAAUGUCUGUAGAAGUUGAAUGAAAUGGAUUGCAAGUAAUAAAAUUGAUAGUGCUGAUAGAAAGUAAGUGUGGAAUGAAGUUGCUUAGAGCUGCAUUUGCAGUUAGUUUAUAUUAACAACGGUCGAUUCAAGGAUGAACCAGUGGAUCGUGGAUCUCGAGGUAGGCGAGGCUUGUCAUCAAAAGAGUUUCAGAGACAGAUCAAAGUUGCGCAGCGGAAGCUUUGUGGCGUUGAGUCUUCUGCUAUGUAUAUUAUGUUGUAUAUUCUAUUUGCAAACCAAAUGACUAUUGUAUAUGUAUCAUUUGAGAGGAGUUCUUAUUUAUAUAUUUCUGAGAGGGGCUAGUUUUUGGGUUAAGUUUUGUAGCAGAUUUCUUAAUUGAGUGUUUAAGUACAUGAUUAGAUUCUUAGUGCCUCGUUAUUUAGUUAACCUCUUGGAUUAGUCAGUUGCUAGCUUUGGGGCGCUACAAUACUAAAAACCGUGAUUUAUUCG
This is a long non-coding RNA of Papaver somniferum (opium poppy), 1808 nucleotides long. RefSeq lists it as uncharacterized. NCBI's taxonomy places the organism in Eukaryota, Viridiplantae, Streptophyta, Magnoliopsida, Ranunculales, Papaveraceae. The transcript is spliced from 3 exons. The record is from RefSeq and is a predicted model, not a curated record.